This 328-nucleotide ribosomal RNA is filed under the name uncultured eukaryote. RNAcentral's name for it is "partial 18S ribosomal RNA". It matches the Rfam family "Eukaryotic small subunit ribosomal RNA", at positions 1470 to 1796 of the family's 1831-position model. The record is from RNAcentral.
CCCUUAGAUGUCCGGGGCUGCACGCGCGCUACACUGAAGGAAUCAGCGUGCUAAAACCAUUGUCGAAAGGCAUUGGUAAACCCAUUAAAAUCCUACGUGAUUGGGAUCGGGAAUUGCAAUUAUUUCCCUUGAACGAGGAAUUCCCAGUAAGUGUGGGUCAUAAGCUCGCGUUGAUUACGUCUCUGCCCUUUGUACACACCGCCCGUCGCUGCCCGGGACUGAGCCGUUUCGAGAAAAGCGGGGACUGCUGCUGUCGGGGCUUUCGGGCCUUGGCUUCGGUGGAAACCGCUUUAAUCGCAGUGGCUUGAACCGGGCAAAAGUCGUAACA